GCAGUCGAGCGAACUGAUUAGAAGCUUGCUUCUAUGACGUUAGCGGCGGACGGGUGAGUAACACGUGGGCAACCUGCCUGUAAGACUGGGAUAACUCCGGGAAACCGGAGCUAAUACCGGAUAACAUUUUUUCUUGCAUAAGAGAAAAUUGAAAGAUGGUUUCGGCUAUCACUUACAGAUGGGCCCGCGGUGCAUUAGCUAGUUGGUGAGGUAACGGCUCACCAAGGCAACGAUGCAUAGCCGACCUGAGAGGGUGAUCGGCCACACUGGGACUGAGACACGGCCCAGACUCCUACGGGAGGCAGCAGUAGGGAAUCUUCCGCAAUGGACGAAAGUCUGACGGAGCAACGCCGCGUGAGUGAUGAAGGCUUUCGGGUCGUAAAACUCUGUUGUUAGGGAAGAACAAGUACAAGAGUAACUGCUUGUACCUUGACGGUACCUAACCAGAAAGCCACGGCUAACUACGUGCCAGCA
This 474-nucleotide ribosomal RNA is filed under the name Priestia flexa. RNAcentral describes it as "bacterial SSU rRNA". It matches the Rfam family "Bacterial small subunit ribosomal RNA", at positions 57 to 513 of the family's 1533-position model. The record is from RNAcentral. Lineage: Bacteria; Bacillati; Bacillota; Bacilli; Caryophanales; Bacillaceae.